RNAcentral lists this ribosomal RNA (440 nucleotides) under uncultured bacterium. RNAcentral's name for it is "partial 16S ribosomal RNA". It matches the Rfam family "Bacterial small subunit ribosomal RNA", at positions 338 to 795 of the family's 1533-position model. The record is from RNAcentral.
CCUACGGGUGACUGCAGUGGGGAAUAUUGCACAAUGGGGGAAACCCUGAUGCAGCGACGCCGCGUGAGUGAAGAAGUAUUUCGGUAUGUAAAGCUCUAUCAGCAGGGAAGCAAAUGACGGUACCUGAUUCAGAAGCCCCGGCUAACUACGUGCCAGCCGCCGCGGUAAUACGUAGGGGGCAAGCGUUAUCCGGAUUUAAUGGGUGUAAAGGGAGCGUAGACGGGAGCACAAGUCUGGAGGGAAAUGCCGGGGCUUAACCCCGGAACUGCUUUGGAAACUGUGCAGCUAGAGUGGAGGAGAGGUAAGUGGAAUGCCUAGUGUAGCGGUGAAAUGCGUAGAUAUUAGGAGGAACACCAGUGGCGAAGGCGGCUUACUGGACUGUAACUGACGUUGAGGCUCGAAAGCGUGGGGAGCAAACAGGAUUAGAUACCCCUGUAGUC